RNAcentral lists this ribosomal RNA (767 nucleotides) under uncultured Actinomyces sp. RNAcentral's name for it is "bacterial SSU rRNA". It matches the Rfam family "Bacterial small subunit ribosomal RNA", at positions 74 to 833 of the family's 1533-position model. Lineage: Bacteria; Bacillati; Actinomycetota; Actinomycetes; Actinomycetales; Actinomycetaceae. The record is from RNAcentral.
CCAAGCUUGCUUGGUUGAUUAGUGGCGAACGGGUGAGUAACACGUGAGUAACCUGCCCCUUACUUUCCUGGAUAACUGCUCGAAAGGGUAGCUAAUACGGGAUAUUCUGACCAUCCUGCAUGGGUUGGUUUGGAAAGGUUGUUUUUCUGGUAAGGGAUGGGCUCGCGGCCUAUCAGCUUGUUGGUGGGGUGAUGGCCUACCAAGGCUUUGACGGGUAGCCGGCCUGAGAGGGUGGACGGUCACACUGGGACUGAGAUACGGCCCAGACUCCUACGGGAGGCAGCAGUGGGGAAUAUUGCACAAUGGGCGCAAGCCUGAUGCAGCGACGCCGCGUGAGGGAUGAAGGCCUUCGGGUUGUAAACCUCUUUCGUCAGGGAACAAGGCACUGCUUUUUUGGUGGUGUUGAGGGUACCUGGAUAAGAAGCGCCGGCUAACUACGUGCCAGCAGCCGCGGUAAUACGUAGGGCGCAAGCGUUGUCCGGAAUUAUUGGGCGUAAAGAGCUCGUAGGCGGCUGGUCGCGUCUGUCGUGAAAACUUCCGGCUCAACCGGGGGCUUGCGGUGGGUACGGGCCGGCUAGAGUGCGGUAGGGGUAACUGGAACUCCUGGUGUAGCGGUGGAAUGCGCAGAUAUCAGGAAGAACACCGAUGGCGAAGGCAGGUUACUGGGCCGUUACUGACGCUGAGGAGCGAAAGCGUGGGGAGCGAACAGGAUUAGAUACCCUGGUAGUCCACGCCGUAAACGUUGGGCACUAGGUGUGAGGCUCCUU